AGUGGUGGCUGGGGGGGUCAGGCCCUAGAAGGAAGCCCGAGGCUGGAGCUGAAGAUAUGGGUCAAAUUCAUUCAUGUCAGGACACUGAUGGGAUGGGAUAAAAGGUGUUGGAGAAUUACUACACACAGGGAAGAAAGCAGAGGGAAGCAUUGCGGAUCAUGGACUCCUAGCUUGGGGCCGAUGGUGCAAAGCUACGCCGUUGCCCAAGACAGGUCACAGAUUGAGGAAGAACUUUGGGGAAGGCAGGCAGUAAGUUCAGUUGUACGCCUGUGAAGCCUACAGGACAUCCAGGAUGAUGCCAGUCUCAGAACUCCCACCGCUCCCCACAUAUCGGAGCAUAGACAGAUAUGGAAUCGCUGCAGGAGAAACGUCAACCAUCAGGAAAUGAGAGCGACACAUGCCUACUUCCUGCACAUUCAAGGGUCAUCCAUUAAGAAACCACAUGUUAGAAUGUGGGUCGCAUUCCACUAAUACCUCGAGGUUAUCAAAGAGCCUUCAGUUUGGUGGAGGAGGCAGUUGCUCUAAAGCUCUUUGCAAGGAGAAAGAGAAGCAUUCUGCAGGAUCCCUACAAAUGAAACGCAACCAGCAAGCUGUCAUUUGUCCAGAGAAGCUCACGCUCCCUGGGAAUUGGAAUAUUCGGUCUCACCCUGAAGAGUAGCUGGACAGAGACAGGAAU
This is a long non-coding RNA of Piliocolobus tephrosceles (Ugandan red Colobus), 676 nucleotides long. RefSeq lists it as uncharacterized. The record is from RefSeq and is a predicted model, not a curated record. NCBI's taxonomy places the organism in Eukaryota, Metazoa, Chordata, Mammalia, Primates, Cercopithecidae. The transcript is spliced from 3 exons.